This 452-nucleotide ribosomal RNA is filed under the name uncultured bacterium. RNAcentral's name for it is "bacterial SSU rRNA". It matches the Rfam family "Bacterial small subunit ribosomal RNA", at positions 917 to 1382 of the family's 1533-position model. The record is from RNAcentral.
GGGCCCGCACAAGCAGCGGAGCGUGUGGUUUAAUUCGAUGCUACACGAAGAACCUUACCAGGGUUUGACAUGCAAGUGGUAGAGAAGCGAAAGCGGAACGACCCUUCGGGGAGCUUGCACAGGUGCUGCAUGGCUGUCGUCAGCUCGUGUCGUGAGAUGUUCGAUUAAGUUCGCUAACGAGCGCAACCCUCGUUGCGUGUUACAAGUGUCACGCGAGACCGCCGGUCUUAAACCGGAGGAAGGUGAGGAUGACGUCAAGUCAGCAUGGCCUUUAUAUCCUGGGCUACACACACGCUACAAUGGCCAGUACAAUAGGUAGCCAAACCGCGAGGUGGAGCCAAUCCUAAAAACUGGCCUCAGUUCAGAUUGCAGGCUGCAACUCGCCUGCAUGAAGAUGGAGUUGCUAGUAACCGCAGGUCAGCUAUACUGCGGUGAAUACGUUCCCGGGCCUU